This 324-nucleotide ribosomal RNA is filed under the name uncultured eukaryote. RNAcentral describes it as "partial 18S ribosomal RNA". It matches the Rfam family "Eukaryotic small subunit ribosomal RNA", at positions 1470 to 1796 of the family's 1831-position model. The record is from RNAcentral.
CCCUUAGAUGUUCUGGGCUGCACGCGCGCUACACUGAAGCUAUCAAAACGUUUUCCCUCCCUGAGAAGGGCGGGUAACCUUUUGAAUCAGCUUCGUGGUAGGGAUCGGGGCUUGCAAUUGUUCCCCGUGAACCAGGAAUUCCUAGUAGACGCGAGUCAUAAGCUCGCAUCGAUUAAGUCCCUGCCCUUUGUACACACCGCCCGUCGCUACUACCGAUUGAACGUUUUAGUGAGGCAUUUGGACCGACGCAUCUCAGUUUAACCGCUGGUUUGUGUUGGAAAGACUUCCAAACUUGAGCGUUUAGAGGAAGUAAAAGUCGUAACA